Molecule: RNA transcript, 12106 nt
Organism: Acanthopagrus latus (yellowfin seabream)
Lineage: Eukaryota; Metazoa; Chordata; Actinopteri; Spariformes; Sparidae
Gene name: cytidine and dCMP deaminase domain-containing protein 1-like
Exons: 15
Source: RefSeq, a predicted model, not a curated record
GUCACACUUCCGGUGUCUCUCCUAUGGAUACAGUUAGCUAGCAGCUCUCCCUGUGUGUCCACCAACGUACUCACAGUGAAAUGCUUCGUAUGACUGGCAAAUAAAAAACUGCUGCUCACCAGGGAAAUGGCGCUCUCUGCACAGCAAGUCAUCAGUUUGGUUUAGCCCUGCGCAAUCUGGAAACUGGCAUCCCAUGACAUUCAAAGGCUGCAGAUACGUCGACUUCGCCGCCAUAUUGGAUGCGCCAGCUCUGCCCCAGUCAGUGGACUGAACUUUACAAAGCUCCUUCUACAAAGUGCUGCAGGUGAUGCUCAGGAGGGACAUGGCGCUCUCUGCACAUCAACUCAUCACUUUGGUUUAGCCCUGCGCAAUCUGGAAGCUGGCGUCCCAUGACGUUUGCCGGUGCUUCUCAAAUUAACAAAUAAAGGCCGAUUGAUGUGCCAUAAUGGGCUGGUUUCAUGCCUCUCAAUGCAACAACUGUUAAAACUUUGCCCCAUCCUCGCACUUCAGUAAAACUUCAGCUGCUCGUGCUUCAUUUUUUCAUAACCCCCUGCUUCCACCUCUCAGAAAGCCCGGGGAGGAGACACCGCUCCCCCCCAAGGCCCCGCAGACCAGCUUGGGCAGGAAUCGAACCCCGUGCGAGCACCUAUUCGCGCUACAAACACGCCUGAGACCCACCGCGCCACCAGUCCGCCAGACACUUCGACUACUUCUCUGGGCGCUUUUCAUUACGUACUUCAAACUUAGGACUUUUAUAAGAAUCAAACACAAAGUUCAUCGGGACUCGAACUCACAACCUCACAACUACUCACCAGACUCCUAUCAGCCUGAGCUACUGGAUCUGUCUGAUGCUCACUGUUUCUUUCACAUUUCACUCUUUUCAACCUCAACACAUGAAAAUAAAUCAAGAGUCGAACUCACAACCUCAAAACUUCCAACCCUGCUUUUACCCUGCUCAGCUAACUACAACUAACAACUGCAGCCUCUCUCAGAGCUUUUCACUCCUUCUUCUGACCAGCCACUUCAUAAAGAUUCACCAUCUUGGCACCAGCCUUCAAAACUCUGGCUGGCUUUGAACCCACAACCUUCACUUUUCUAACCAUCACUUUAGCUCACUGAGCUAAUGAGUUGGGGAGAAACUUCUCUUUCUCAGAGGAGGUCACUCUUUGUUUUGGAUAGCAGGUUUAAAAAUCACCGCAACUACCCAGGGUUUCAACGGCGAACCUUAAAUUUCAAUCAAGAAUCGAACCCACAACCUCAAAACUUACAACCCUGCUUUUACCCUGCUAAGCUAACUACAAGUAACAAUUGCACUCUCUCUCAGAGCUUUUCACUCCUUCUGACCAGCAACUUCAUAAAGAGUCAGGAUUCAAACCCACAACCUCCACACCAGUUCAUCACAUACCUGAAUGUCCUGCCUUUGACUCGUUUAUUUCAUCAGCUUACUUCAAAACUCACGCUGACUCAACGAUCCAACACACUGAGCUACCUGGACGGCAGGUAUCUGAACCUGAACUUUAUUUUGUGGCCAGGCCGUCUCACUUAGUCCGGCUGUGUCUCCAUUGGAUCGCUGCCCGCCACAAACAUCACUUUAGCAGCAGCUCCUUGUAUCAGGACCUCACCCUGCUGCUCUGGGAUCUGCCUCUGUACUCCUCCAACCUCACCCAGGUCUCAGAGACAUCAACUUACAGCACUUUGGAGAAGGACAUUUACAAACACAAUGGCUGCAAUGUCGGAUACUUCAUUUUACUUUAUUAAGUCUCUUUUUACACUGUCUUCCGCUGCUUAUUCCACUAAUUACUGAUGAAGAGGGAAAGCACAGCCAGCAACCAACCAACCAGAUCACUGACACACUGUUGGACAGCACGCUUUUACAAGCUCACCUCCAACAUGACAAGAUCAGCGUUUCACAGCUUCACAUCAGCCAAACAUAACAAACUAUAGGAAUGAAUGGUCAGAUUUGACAGAAAAAGCUGUACUUUUCAAAAGCUGAAAAGUCAUAGGUUGAAUGGCCUUCAAAGCCUCAGCAUUUUGGCUCAAAAAGAUGAAUAUUUUGUGCUUGCAGCAUUCACACUAAUCACUGGGCAGCCAUGUUAUUUUCAUGUGGAUCACACAAUGUGAUUCUGAACGGAAACAUUUCCUACCAGAUGGAACCUUCAGUGAUCAAAGUGAACAUUCCAUGAUGCGCGUCAGCGAGGGUAUAAAAGGGACAGCUUCAGGCUGGCUCAUCAUUUCACUUCAGCCGUCUGAAGAGGUCACACUGCUGAUCAAGCAGAGCGAGCAGCCAACACGCCGCGGCGGACAGCAGACUUUAACAACGCUCAUCUCCAACCACAUAGGAUCAGCGUUUCACUGCCUCACAUCAGCCAGAGAUAUAACCUGCUGUCAUCGCUGUCACACCGCAGGCCGCCACUCUGCAGCGUGAGCUUAAAAAACAAGUCAAGUCUCACGCACACAAGCUGUUGAGCCGGAGACCUUUUGCCAAAAGACGGCAAACAGAUCGCUGUCCGGCAGCAACACACCACAGAUGAUGUGAGGACCAGGCGUGAGGAGAAGUGCGGGGAACAGCCGACGGAGUACGAGGACGAGUCAGCGGAGCAGCAACAGUCGCUACCUGAAGUCCACCGAUAACGCACCACCGGCCCCUGAACUGAGGAGACGCUCCCAAAUACGCCACAGCGACCUUCAAUCCGGGUCGUGGGUUUCCUCCGGGUCCCUCGGUUCCCACAAGAAAAAGGGUACAAAUUGAAAAUCAAUUUGGAAAUUAAUCUGGACCUGAAUCUGGACCUGAAUCUGGACAUUAAUCUGGACCUCAAUCUGGACAUUAAUCUGGACCUGAAUCUGGACAUUAAUCUGGACCUCAAUCUGGACAUGAAUUUGGACAUGAAUCUGGACAUUAAUCUGGACAUGAAUUUGGACAUGAAUCUGGACAUUAAUCUGGACAUAAAUCUGGACAUGAAUUUGGAAAUGAAUGUGGAAAAUAAAAAUUUGAAAUGAAAUUGAAAAUCACUUGUCUGUAUUCAUCAUUGUAUUUUGUAGGAUGUUGUAUUUUUACAGUCACAUGUUUAAAGAGGUGGCACUUCAUUUUAUGCACAUGGUCAACAGGUGUUGUGGAAUAUCCUCAUCAACAGGAACAUUAUUACAUUCACUAAUGAAAACACAUUGACGACAUGGUCUGAGAGCGAUGCUAGCGGCUCCCUCAAGCUCGACUUAACAGCUACCACCACAAAUCAUUCAAUGUGUGGCAAAAACUGCUCAAUGCAAAACCCACAACAAUCUGACAUUUGUUUGUGUGUUAUUGCUUGGUGGUUUAGUUUAUAAGGUCAUUUCAAUUUUUGUCUUUACAUUUUGUGUAUUUUGUGUCACAUAUUUAAAUUUACGUAGCCUGUACUCGCCUACUCAACCAGAGUAGAAAUACAAAAAGCAAGAAAAAAAAAUGACGAAAUAUACAAGUUCAACAACACCAGGAAGGCCUGACACUCCAUCUCUGAAAUGCUCUGUGAAGUACCACGCUACAAAACACUGUCGCUCAGUGGAAUCAAGGAGGAAGCGAAGCUGUGGCUCAGCUAGACUUUAUACAUAGCAGAUUGAAAGAUGACCUGUGAGCAUCACAGCAUCUCUCUGUGGUUGCACGAGAUGGUGGGGUGGCCAAAGAGCCAAAAUAACAUGUUUUCGUGAUAACUGACCCAAAAAACAUCAUCACUUAGCAAUGACUCAUCACGAAAAAAUGACUUAUCACAAAAUAAUUAGUCUGUAUUACAAGAGAAUCAGAAACGUCCUCAAAAUAAUGACCAAGUAUUUCAAAUGAAUAAUUUGGUAUCUAUCUUUAUACUUUGUCAUAAAAACGAAUUAUCUCCAAAGAAUGAGAAACUACCAAAAUUACUUACAAUUAAUCCGUUUUUUAUCGGAAAAAACGUAAAUAAUCUAAAUGUUAUUUAGACACAUGAUGACUUCAUUACGAUUAAUUUGUUGACUUUUAUUUAGGACCACAUCUGUCUCAUCACCUUUACUGUCAUAUUCUCAGUGAUCAGACACCUGAGAUUAAAACGCUUUCUGUGAAAAUAACCCGCUUUGCAACGCACUGCUCCCCUGUCAAUGUUUGUUAUGUCAAUAAAGCUCUUUUGAAUUGACUUCAGGCCGUUUGACCAAUCACAGUUUCACACUUCCGGUGUCUCUCCUAUGGAUACAGUUAGCUAGCAGCUCUCCCUGUGUUUCCACCAACGUACUCACAGUGAAAUGCUUCGUAUGACCGGCAAAUAAAAAACUGCUGCUCACCAGGGAAAUGGCGCUCUCUGCACAUCAACUCAUCAGUUUGGUUUAGCCCUGCGCAAUCUGGAAACUGGCAUCCCAUGACAUUCAAAGGCUGCAGAUCGACUUCGCCGCCACAUUGGAUGCGCCAGCUCUGCCCCAGUCAGUGGACUGAACUUUACAAAGCUCCUUCUACAAAGUGCUGCAGGUGAUGCUCAGGAGGGACAUGGCGCUCUCUGCACAUCAACUCAUCACUUUGGUUUAGCCCUGCGCAGUCUGGAAGCUGGCAUCCCAUGACGUUUGCCGGUGCUUCUCAAAUUAACAAAUAAAGGACGAUUGAUGUGACAUAAUGGGCCGGUUUCAUGCCUCUCAAUGCAACAACUGUUAAAACUUUGCCCCAUCCUCGCACUUCAGUAAAACUUCAGCUGCUCGUGCUUCAUUUUUUCAUAACCCCCUGCUUCCACCUCUCAGAAAGCCCGGGGAGGAGACACCGCUCCCCCCCAAGGCCCCGCAGACCAGCUUGGGCAGGAAUCGAACCCCGUGCGAGCACCUAUUCGCGCUACAAACACGCCUGAGACCCACCGCGCCACCAGUCCGCCAGACACUUCAACUACUUCUCUGGGCGCUUUUCAUUACGUACUUCAAACUUAGGACUUUUAUAAGAAUCAAACACAAACUUAAUCAGGACUCGAACCCACGACCUCACAACUGCUCACCAGACUCCUAUCAGCCUGAGCUAUUGGAUCUGUCUGAUGCUCACUGUUUCUUUCACAUUUCACUCUUUUCAACCUCAACACAUGAAAAUAAAUCAAGAGUCGAACUCACAACCUCAAAACUUCCAACCCUGCUUUUACCCUGCUCAGCUAACUACAACUAACAAUUGCAGCCUCUCUCAGAGCUUUUCACUCCUUCUUCUGACCAGCCACUUCAUAAAGACUCACCAUCUUGGCACCAGCCUUCAAAACUCUGGCUGGCUUUGAACCCACAACCUUCACUUUUCAAACCAUCACUUUAGCUCGCUGAGCUAAUGAGUUGGGGAGAAACUUCUCUUUCUCAGAGGAGGUCACUCUUUGUUUUGGAUAGCAGGUUUAAAAAUCACCUCAGCUACCCAGGGUUUCAACACAAAACCACCACACGUCACUCAGUAUUAGGAGAAUCGAACCUGCGAUCUCAGAACUGCUGACCAGCCCUCUAUCAGCCUCAGCUACUCCAUCUGACUCAUACUUAUUGUUUCUUUCACAUGUCACUUUUUUCAAUGGCGAACCUUAAAUUUCAAUCAAGAAUCGAACCCACAACCUCAAAACUUACAACCCUGCUUUUACCCUGCUAAGCUAACUACAAGUAACAAUUGCAGCCUCUCUCAGAGCUUUUCACUCCUUCUGACCAGCAACUUCAUAAAGAGUCAGGAUUCAAACCCACAACCUCCACACCAGUUCAUCACAUACCUGAAUGUCCUGCCUUUGACUCGUUUAUUUCAUCAGCUUACUUCAAAACUCACGCUGACUCAAGGAUCCAACACACUGAGCUACCUGGACGGCAGGUGUCUGAACCUGAACUUUAUUUUGUGGCCAGGCCGUCUCACUUAGUCCGGCUGUGUCUCCAUUGGAUCGCUGCCCGCCACAAACAUCACUUUAGCAGCAGCUCCUUGUAUCAGGACCUCACCCUGCUGCUCUGGGAUCUGCCUCUGUACUCCUCCAACCUCACCCAGGGCUCAGAGACAUCAACUUACAGCACUUUGGAGAAGGACAUUUACAAACACAAUGGCUGCAUUGUCGGAUACUUCAUUUUACUUUAUUAAGUCUCUUUUUACACUGUCUUCCGCUGCUUAUUCCACUAAUUACUGAUCAAGAGGGAAAGCACAGCCAGCAACCAACCAACCAGAUCACUGACACACUGUUGGACAGCACGCUUUUACAAGCUCACCUCCAACAUGACAAGAUCAGCGUUUCACAGCUUCACAUCAGCCAAACAUAACAAACUAUAGGAAUGAAUGGUCAGAUUUGACAGAAAAAGCUGUACUUUUCAAAAGCUGAAAAGUCAUAGGUUGAAUGGCCUUCAAAGCCUCAGCAUUUUGGCUCAAAAAGAUGAAUAUUUUGUGCUUGCAGCAUUCACACUAAUCACUGGGCAGCCAUGUUAUUUUCAUGUGGAUCACACAAUGUGAUUCUGAACGGAAACAUUUCCUACCAGAUGGAACCUUCAGUGAUCAAAGUGAACAUUCCAUGAUGCGCGUCAGCGAGGGUAUAAAAGGGACAGCUUCAGGCUGGCUCAUCAUUUCACUUCAGCCGUCUGAAGAGGUCACACUGCUGAUCAAGCAGAGCGAGCAGCCAACACGCCGCGGCGGACAGCAGACUUUAACAACGCUCAUCUCCAACCACAUAGGAUCAGCGUUUCACUGCCUCACAUCAGCCAGAGAUAUAACCUGCUGUCAUCGCUGUCACACCGCAGGCCGCCACUCUGCAGCGUGAGCUUAAAAAACAAGUCAAGUCUCACGCACACAAGCUGUUGAGCCGGAGACCUUUUGCCAAAAGACGGCAAACAGAUCGCUGUCCGGCAGCAACACACCACAGAUGAUGUGAGGACCAGGCGUGAGGAGAAGUGCGGGGAACAGCCGACGGAGUACGAGGACGAGUCAGCGGAGCAGCAACAGUCGCUACCUGAAGUCCACCGAUAACGCACCACCGGCCCCUGAACUGAGGAGACGCUCCCAAAUACGCCACAGCGACCUUCAAUCCGGGUCGUGGGUUUCCUCCGGGUCCCCCGGCUCCCACAAGAAAAAGGGUACAAAUUGAAAAUCAAUUUGGAAAUUAAUCUGGACCUGAAUCUGGACCUGAAUCUGGACCUCAAUCUGGACAUUAAUCUGGACCUCAAUCUGGACAUUAAUCUGGACCUGAAUCUGGACCUGAAUCUGGACAUUAAUCUGGACCUGAAUCUGGACAUGAAUCUGGACAUUAAUCUGGACAUAAAUCUGGACAUGAAUUUGGAAAUGAAUGUGGAAAAUAAAAAUUUGAAAUGAAAUUGAAAAUCACUUGUCUGUAUUCAUCAUUGUAUUUUGUAGGAUGUUGUAUUUUUACAGUCACAUGUUUAAAGAGGUGGCACUUCAUUUUAUGCACAUGGUCAACAGGUGUUGUGGAAUAUCCUCAUCAACAGGAACAUUAUUACAUUCACUAAUGAAAACACAUUGACGACAUGGUCUGAGAGCGAUGCUAGCGGCUCCCUCAAGCUCUACUUAACAGCUACCACCACAAAUCAUUCAAUGUGUGGCAAAAACUGCUCAAUGCAAAACCCACAACAAUCUGACAUUUGUUUGUGUGUUAUUGCUUGGUGGUUUAGUUUAUAAGGUCAUUUCAAUUUUUGUCUUUACAUUUUGUGCUUUUUGUGUCACAUAUUUAAAUUUACGUAGCCUGUACUCGCCUACUCAACCAGAGUAGAAAUACAAAAAGCAAGGAAAAAAAUGACGAAAUAUACAAGUUCAACAACACCAGGAAGGCCUGACACUCCAUCUCUGAAAUGCUCUGUGAAGUACCACGCUACAAAACACUGUCGCUCAGUGGAAUCAAGGAGGAAGCGAAGCUGUGGCUCAGCUAGACUUUAUACAUAGCAGAUUGAAAGAUGACCUGUGAGCAUCACAGCAUCUCUCUGUGGUUGCACGAGAUGGUGGGGUGGCCAAAGAGCCAAAAUAACAUGUUUUCGUGAUAACUGACCCAAAAAACAUCAUCACUUAGCAAUGACUCAUCACGAAAAAAUGACUUAUCACAAAAUAAUUAGUCUGUAUUACAAGAGAAUCAGAAACGUCCUCAAAAUAAUGACCAAGUAUUUCAAAUGAAUAAUUUGGUAUCUAUCUUUAUACUUUGUCAUAAAAACGAAUUAUCUCCAAAGAAUGAGAAACUACCAAAAUUACUUACAAUUAAUCCGUUUUUUAUCGGAAAAAACGUAAAUAAUCUAAAUGUUAUUUAGACACAUGAUGACUUCAUUAUGAUUAAUUUGUUGACUUUUAUUUAGGACCACAUCUGUCUCAUCACCUCUACUGUCAUAUUCUCAGUGAUCAGACACCUGAGAUUAAAAUGCUUUCUGUGAAAAUAACCCGCUUUGCAACGCACUGCUCCCCUGUCAAUGUUUGUUAUGUCAAUAAAGCUCUUUUGAAUUGACUUCAGGCCGUUUGACCAAUCACAGUUUCACACUUCCGGUGUCUCUCCUAUGGAUACAGUUAGCUAGCAGCUCUCCCUGUGUUUCCACCAACGUACUCACAGUGAAAUGCUUCGUAUGACUGGCAAAUAAAAAACUGCUGCUCACCAGGGAAAUGGCGCUCUCUGCAGAUCAACUCAUCAGUUUGGUUUAGCCCUGCGCAAUCUGGAAACUGGCAUCCCAUGACAUUCAAAGGCUGCAGAUACGUCGACUUCGCCGCCAUAUUGGAUGCGCCAGCUCUGCCCCAGUCAGUGGACCCAACUUUACAAAGCUCCUUCUACAAAGUGCUGCAGGUGAUGCUCAGGAGGGACAUGGCGCUCUCUGCACAUCAACUCAUCACUUUGGUUUAGCCCUGCGCAAUCUGGAAGCUGGCAUCCCAUGACGUUUGCCGGUGCUUCUCAAAUGAACAAAUAAAGGCUGAUUGAUGUGCCAUAAUGGGCUGGUUUCAUGCCUCUCAAUGCAACAACUGUUAAAACUUUGCCCCAUCCUCGCACUUCAGUAAAACUUCAGCUGCUCGUGCUUCAUUUUUUCAUAACCCCCUGCUUCCACCUCUCAGAAAGCCCGGGGAGGAGACACCGCUCCCCCCCAAGGCCCCGCAGACCAGCUUGGGCAGGAAUCGAACCCCGUGCGAGCACCUAUUCGCGCUACAAACACGCCUGAGACCCACCGCGCCACCAGUCCGCCAGACACUUCAACUACUUCUCUGGGCGCUUUUCAUUACGUACUUCAAACUUAUGACUUUUAUAAGAAUCAAACACAAACUUAAUCAGGACUCGAACCCAUGACCUCAUAACUGCUCACCAGACUCCUAUCAGCCUGAGCUACUGGAUCUGACUGAUGCUCACUGUUUCUUUCACAUUUCACUCUUUUCAACUUCAACACUCCAAAAUUAAUCAAGAAUCGAACCCACCACUUUCAGUCUUUACAGCAGCGCUUUAUCUUCCUGAGCUAAUCAGUUGGGGAGAACCUUCUCUUUUGGAGAGGAUUUCACUCUUUGUUUUCCUCAUGAACUUUAAAAAUUAUCUCAGCUACCUCAGACCUACUAACCAGGUUCCUAUCAGCCUGAGCUACUGGAUCUGAUUGAUACUCACUGUUUCUUUCACAUUUCACUCUUUGUUUUGUUUUUGGACAUAAACUUUAAAAAUCACCUCAACUACCCAGGGAUUGAACCUGCAACCUCAGAUCUGCUAACCAGGCUCCUAUCAGCCCGAGCUACUGGAUCUCACUGUUUCUUUCACAUUUCACUCUUUUCAACAUCAACACGCAAAAGAAUCAAUCAAGACUCAAACCCACCACCUCAAAACUUCAAACCCUGCAUUCACCCCGCUGAGCUGACAGGAGCCAACAACCAAACUGUCUCUCACAGGUUGUCACGCAUUCUUCCAAACACUUCAUCACAGUGCACUGACCCAUUGAGCUUCCUGGACAUCAACUUCUUUGGACGUUGAAUUCAGGGACACCAACAGACUGGUCCCACCGCAUUCAUUUGCUGCAUAUUGUCCACUGCACUUGGUUAUAUACAAAACCUGACACAUUCUGGGGUUCACGUCACCUGACCACAUGACGUCACACCAGCGACACGUCCGUCGCACAGCUGGACUUCCAAACCAACGUAAACAAGAUACGUCGACUUCGCCGCCAUAUUGGAUGCGCCAGCUCUGCCCCAGUCAGUGGACUGAACUUUACAAAGCUCCUUCUACAAAGUGCUGCAGGUGAUGCUCAGGAGGGAAAUGGCGCUCUCUGCACAUCAACUCAUCACUUUGGUUUAGCCCUGCGCAAUCUGGAAGGUGGCAUCCCAUGACGUUUGCCGGUGCUUCUCAAAUGAACAAAUAAAGGACGAUUGAUGUGCCAUAAUGGGCCGGUUUCAUGCCUCUCAAUGCAACAACUGUUAAAACUUUGCCCCAUCCUCGCACUUCAGUAAAACUUCAGCUGCUCGUGCUUCAUUUUUUCAUAACCCCCUGCUUCCACCUCUCAGAAAGCCCGGGGAGGAGACACCGCUCCCCCCCAAGGCCCCGCAGACCAGCUUGGGCAGGAAUCGAACCCCGUGCGAGCACCUAUUCGCGCUACAAACACGCCUGAGACCCACCGCGCCACCAGUCCGCCAGACACUUCAACUACUUCUCUGGGCGCUUUUCAUUACGUACUUCAAACUUAGGACUUUUAUAAGAAUCAAACACAAACUUAAUCAGGACUCGAACCCAUGACCUCACAACUGCUCACCAGGCUCCUAUCAGCCUGAGCUACUGGAUCUGUCUGAUGCUCACUGUUUCUUUCACAUUUCACUCUUUUCAACCUCAACACUCCAAAAUUAAUCAAGAAUCGAACCCACCACUUUCAGUCUUCACAGCAGCGCUUUAUCUUCCUGAGCUAAUCAGCUGGGGAGAACCUUCUCUUUCGGAGAGGAUUUCACUCUUUGUUUUCCUCAUAAACUUUAAAAAUCACCUCAACUACCCAGGGAUUGAACCUGCAACCUCAGACCUACUAACCAGCCCUCUAUCAGCCUGAGCUACUGGAUCUGACUGAUGGUAUCUGUUUCUUUCACAUUUCACUCUUUUCAACCUCAACACUCCAAAAUUCAUCAAGAAUCAAACCCACCACUUUCAGUCUUCACAGCAGCACUUUAUCUUCCUGAGCCAAUCAGUUGGGGACAAACUUCUCUUUCGGAGAGAGAGAGAGGAUUUCACUCUUUGUUUUCCUCAUAAACUUUAAAAAAAUCACCUCAGCUACCCAGGGAUUGAACCUGCAACCUCAGACCUGCUCACCAGGCUCCUAUCAGCCUGAGCUACUGGAUCUGAAUGAUACUCACUCUUUCUUUCACAUUUCACUCUUUGUUUUUUUUUUUUGACAUAAACUUUAAAAAUCACCUCAACUACCCAGGAUUUGAACCCACAACCGCCACAAUAUUAGGAGAAUCGAACCUGCCACCUCAGAACUACUGAGCAGGCCGCUAUCAGCCUGAGCUACUGGAUCUGACUCAUGCUCUUUGUGUCUGUCACAUUUCACUUUUUUCAACCCCCAAAUUUCAAUCAAGAUUUGAACCCACCACCUCAAAACUUCAAACCCUACUUUCACCCUGCUGAGCUAACAGGAUGACACCAGCAAACACUCUCUGACUAGUCUGAGCACCAACUUUUUAAACAGUUACCAUUCAAACCAGCAGCCUCCACACCAGCUCAUCACAUACCUCAACCUGCCUUUCACUCUUUUAUUUCAAGAGCCGUCUUCAAAAGGCACACAGACUCCAGGCUCAUCACAGCUCAGUCACAGCCAAAGGGACAGUGUCUGUCAAGUCACAAUCGUGCGCGUGCAUACGCCCCUCACGCCCUGCCUACUCGCCAGUGCCUCUCCCCCGCGCAGGCGCACUGCCUGCCCUCACCUGCUCACGUACUUACAAGCUCACGCUCAAAUUGUAAACAAUGGCGACUCAUUCAAUCUCAGACCGAGACAACAAAAUAACAAGACUGACGAGCGGCAUGUCGGAGCUUCAGGGAGCUGCGCCAUUCGUGCCGACUCAGCGGCUUCUCUGCUCGACAACUGCUGCUCACCAGGGAAAUGGCGCUCUCUGCACAUCAAGUCAUCAACGACUUUGCCUCAGACCUGCUCAAGCUGGAAACUGUCAUCAGAUGGCUUUUCUUGCCAAUUAUGAAAUGGCAAAUAAAAAUUGCUUGAAACAUGA